This 465-nucleotide ribosomal RNA is filed under the name uncultured bacterium. RNAcentral describes it as "bacterial SSU rRNA". It matches the Rfam family "Bacterial small subunit ribosomal RNA", at positions 28 to 493 of the family's 1533-position model. The record is from RNAcentral.
GAUGAACGCUGGCGGCGUGCUUAACACAUGCAAGUCGAACGAAGCACUUAAGUUUGAUUCUUCGGAUGAAGACUUUUGUGACUGAGUGGCGGACGGGUGAGUAACGCGUGGGUAACCUGCCUCAUACAGGGGGAUAACAGUUAGAAAUGGCUGCUAAUACCGCAUAAGACCACAGCACCGCAUGGUGCAGGGGUAAAAACUCCGGUGGUAUGAGAUGGACCCGCGUCUGAUUAGCUGGUUGGUGGGGUAACGGCCUACCAAGGCGACGAUCAGUAGCCGACCUGAGAGGGUGACCGGCCACAUUGGGACUGAGACACGGCCCAAACUCCUACGGGAGGCAGCAGUGGGGAAUAUUGCACAAUGGGGGAAACCCUGAUGCAGCGACGCCGCGUGAAGGAUGAAGUAUUUCGGUAUGUAAACUUCUAUCAGCAGGGAAGAAAAUGACGGUACCUGACUAAGAAGCCC